This 71-nucleotide transfer RNA is filed under the name Marmota monax (woodchuck). RNAcentral's name for it is "tRNA.Ala". Lineage: Eukaryota; Metazoa; Chordata; Mammalia; Rodentia; Sciuridae. The record is from RNAcentral.
GGGGUUGUGGCUCAGAGGAAAAGUGCUCGCCUAGCAUGCGUGAGGCUUUGGGUUCGAUCCUCAGCACCACA